RNAcentral lists this long non-coding RNA (852 nucleotides) under Homo sapiens (human). RNAcentral describes it as "novel transcript". The record is from RNAcentral. Lineage: Eukaryota; Metazoa; Chordata; Mammalia; Primates; Hominidae.
GCGUCCCCUUCCACACCGUGGAAGGUUUGUUCUUUCGCUCUUUUCAAUAAAUCUUGCUACCGCUCACUCUUUGGGUCCAGACUGCCUUUAUGAACUGUAACACUCACCUCCAAGGUCUGCAGCUUCACUCCUGAAGCCAGUGAGACCACGAGCCCACCAGGAGGAACGAACAACUCCAGACGCGCCGCCUUAAGAGCUGUAACACUCACUGCUAAGGUCUACAGCUUCAUUCCUGAGCCAGCGAGACCACGAACCCACCAGAAGGAAGAAACUCUGAACACAUCCAAACAUCAGAAGGAAUAAACUCCGGACAUGCCGCCUUUAAGAACUGUAACACUCACCGUGUUAAGAACUGUAACACUCACCGUGAGGGUCUGCGGCAUCAUUCUUGAAAAUCAAGUUAAAGUUUUGUUCUGAAAUUUCAAGGCCUUUCACACCAAUUUGAUACGGUUUGGAUUUGUGUCCCUGCUGGAAUGUAAAGUUGAACUGUAAUCCCGGAUGCUGGAUGAGGGACCUGCUGGGAGGUGAUUGCAUCAUGGGGGCAUAUUUCCCCCUUGCUGUUCUCAUGAUGACACAAAUGAACAGCAGAACUCUUGCUCCCAUGAAUUGGCAAGUAUAGUCAGAAGUCUCCCCACUGUGGAUGGGAGACAGAAAAGAAAGAAAGAGCCUGAAUUACUGAGGGGCCUGAACAGAACAAAAUGUCAGAGGAAAGUUGAAUUCGCUCUCUGCUUGUGAGUGCUUGAACUGGAACAUGGAUUGGCCCUCAGUGCUCCUGUUUCUUAGGCCUUCAAGACUAGAUCAGAAUCUUCACCAUCAGCACUGUUUGUCCUCCUGCUUUCAGGCCUUCAAACC